Molecule: small RNA, 1440 nt
Filed under: Vigna angularis var. angularis
Lineage: Eukaryota; Viridiplantae; Streptophyta; Magnoliopsida; Fabales; Fabaceae
Description: Non-protein coding transcript
Source: RNAcentral
GUGAUCAAAGUAAUGAUAUCUUUAAUUUCAUCGGAUUGGUUUUGUAGAAAGAGUAUAAAGAGAGUUGAGUUAUCUGACCUGAGGUAAGGAUAGUUUUUUUUUUUAGCUGUUUGAGGUUUUCAACUAGGCAAGGGAAGCUAAUUACUUUAAUUUUAUGUUAAGAAGUAUGAAUGUAUGUUAGAUAAGUUGUGAAAUUAAUGUUUGGUUGAAUAUGUUAUCAAUUAAGAUGAUUGUUUAGUGAAUGUUGUCUAUUGAUGAAUAUUUCUAUAUAUGAUUGUGAAUUGGUACUUGCUUGAACCUUUAAUGUUGUUCUUUUGAAGUGUAAUUAGGUACAAAAUUGUUAUAGAAUUGGAAGUAGUAAAAAAGGGUGUGUUAUAUGCUAGUUUUGGUCUAAAAAGAGUGGGUUUGAUAGGUGAAACUUUGAAAGAAUGGUUGGUAAAUUUGAUGCUUAGGGUCUAUUUUUGGAUCAUUUAAGACUUGUUUAGCUAAUUAGAUCAUUAAAAUUUGUUUUGUAACAUGUAGAAGUUAAGUUGUUUGUUUUUGAGUUAUUUGAUAUGGGGAAUCUCAUUCGGGAUUAAAUAAGCAAAUUGAUAUUCAAUUUUAGUUAUAAACAUGUUUUUAAUCAGUUUUAGUGUCAAAAGAUAUCAAUUUGGUGAUUUGGAUAUGUCGGGAUGCAACCAAAUCAGAAAUCAAAGUUUGUUGAAAUGAAAGGUGGUAAUCUGAUAGGGAUAAUUGGUUAUCUUAUUUGAUAAUUGAUUAUCUCAUGCAAAAAUUUAUCUUUGGUUAACCACUCUUUGGAAUAAUUGAUUAUCUUGCUUGAUAAUCAUUAUUUCAGUGAGAAAGUCAUUCUUGCAUAAAAAAAGUCUAUAGGAUAAUCGAUUAUUAGGUGAGAUGACCGAUUAUCUUAGAAGAAAAUCACUAGACACUUGUUUUUAGCAUUUUAUGUUUGCUUUCUUUACUUAAGUUUAGUGUUUGGUUUUAAGUUGGUUAGUAUGAUAUUAUGUACAGUUGUGAAAAGUUAGGAAUGACUUGUGAAUGGUAAUGAUGAAAAUGCAUUUGGUUUAAGUACAUGGUGAAAGAAAUUUUAUUAGAAAGAUCCUUGUGUUGUGCUUGUGAUAAUGUAUUAUUGUAGGAGUUUUGAAACGGGAGAAUGUUUAUGAUACUCCAAUAUCUAUCCAACUUCAAGUAGGGAGGGAUGGUUAUGUCGUGAGGAGUAGCAGGAGAUCCUUAGCCUAUGGUCAGUUUGACUAUAGGUGUUUCACAAAGAUUAACCUUGUGUAAUAGUUUGGGCGGUAUGUUGUUAUACUACACAUGCGCAUGUCCCUCAAUAGUUCGACAUCAAUACAUGUAUAUGGAUGAUCAAGUCUAAACUCUAGAUAUAUGUAUAUAAAUUUGUACUUGGUUUUUGAUGAGAUUGAUGUUGAAAUUGUUACAUUUCUG